Long non-coding RNA from Notolabrus celidotus (New Zealand spotty), 1472 nucleotides. RefSeq lists it as uncharacterized. The record is from RefSeq and is a predicted model, not a curated record. NCBI's taxonomy places the organism in Eukaryota, Metazoa, Chordata, Actinopteri, Labriformes, Labridae. The transcript has 4 exons.
UAUUCUGGGUGUGCAUAACUUUACAAACGGGGACCCAUAGGGGAAAGCAUGGAAGGGAUGAACUGGAGGAGUCACAUCUGCAACAAGCGAUGCUAAGUCACUACAAUGAUGGCAGAUGACAGACAAACAGAAGGGCUCCUCCAGAGGACAUACAACUUUAACAGGAUUGGAAAUGGUACCGACCAGCUGUAGGAGACGGACAGAUACACAGUCCUGCCCACAGGUUCUUUGAUGCUCGUCGAUACCGCUGCGUGAUGAUGUCAUACGGCAGAGAGCGAGGGUGGGGAGGUAUGAUCAAAGAACAGAGGGAGGGAUGAAGACGCAGGAGAGGAUAUCCAAGACAACAACGGGACAAAGAUGGCGACUGCUUCUGCAAUGGGACGUCCACUGGCGUCCAGACCUUCGGAUCACCAAUUUGAACCCUGGACGUGCAGCAGGUGCAUUCACUGGCCUUAUUCUAACAGGAUGACCACCAGCAUGACAUACAGGAACCACCAAGCCAACGUCAGCCAUCACCACUACCGCCGGGCUAGCACGCCCCUUUCAUCAUGGUCUUUUGGCUGUUAAUAUAGGCCUCUCUUGGCCAUCAAAGGCAGCACAUCAAUCGCCUUGACUCCCAAGUGUAUGUGUGAGGGUGAAAGAGAGAAAGGGAGAGUGGGGAAAAAAAGAAGAACACCAUGUAUCAAAGAUCAAGGCACGCUUUCAUGCCUGAUUUUGGCCCUGGUUAGGUUUUGCUUUCCAUCAUCUUUCCAUCCUCCCUUUUUCUCCUUGUUCUAGGGCUGUAGACGCUCCCCGAAACCCACCAAUGUAUUCUCCCAUCCUUAAGUGAUCCACAUUUCCCCAUCGCUGAAAAAUCGAAUCUUUUGUCGGGUAAAUGGAAGUAAAAGACAUUUUGUCUAUAUUUUUUUUUCUUUGAGAAUGUUCUGUAGCUUUGCAGGCUACAGGGCCACAGCUCUGCCCCAAUGAUGACAAUACGUGAAACAAUAUUUGAAUAAGCAGCAGGAGGGCAGCCAGCUAAUCCACUGUGGCUAAUCCAGUAUUGGUGCAGGCCAUAUUGGUAGCUUGAGUAUUCAACCCCAUCACAAUACACAUCAGCAGGACGCCAUGGCAGAUAUACUGACACUCUCACUACAGGCAUGGCUGGGAAAGGCCAGCAGAUGGAUGGAUAGGUGGGUAGAUGGAUGGGUGGAUGGAUGAUAUAGAGAUAAGUGAAUGUACAAUAGCAUGGAUGGUUGGAAACCUUUGAAAUUUAUUCUGUUGUUGCUGUUUUCACAUCUUGUGAAAGUGUUUUUGGGUAACUUGUCGGAGCAGUUAAAGAAGAACUGAGAAUUGGAGAGAUUGGAGAGAUGAUUGACAAGAUACUCAGCUCUCUGAAUGGAAAUCAUCUUAAUUCAUGGUAACAAAGAGACCUUAGAUAUCAAUGUAUCCCAGCCAUCUCUAUGUCAAACAAUAAAAGGUUUCACUGUACAAGA